GAACGCUGGCGGCGUGCCUAAUACCUGCAAGUCGAGCGAACAGACGAGGAGCUUGCUCCUCUGACGUUAGCGGCGGACGGGUGAGUAACACGUGGAUAACCUACCUAUAAGACUGGGAUAACUUCGGGAAACCGGAGCUAAUACCGGAUAAUAUAUUGAACCGCAUGGUUCAAUAGUGAAAAACGGUUUUGCUGUCACUUAUAGAUGGAUCCGCGCCGCAUUAGCUAGUUGGUAAGGUAACGGCUUACCAAGGCAACGAUGCGUAGCCGACCUGAGAGGGUGAUCGGCCACACUGGAACUGAGACACGGUCCAGACUCCUACGGGAGGCAGCAGUAGGGAAUCUUCCGCAAUGGGCGAAAGCCUGACGGAGCAACGCCGCGUGAGUGAUGAAGGUCUUCGGAUCGUAAAACUCUGUUAUUAGGGAAGAACAAAUGUGUAAGUAACUAUGCACGUCUUGACGGUACCUAAUCAGAAAGCCACGGCUAACUACGUG
RNAcentral lists this ribosomal RNA (494 nucleotides) under uncultured bacterium. Its description in RNAcentral is "partial 16S ribosomal RNA". It matches the Rfam family "Bacterial small subunit ribosomal RNA", at positions 31 to 507 of the family's 1533-position model. The record is from RNAcentral.